GUCUCUUUGUAAAAUGUAAAAAUAAAGAGUUGGGCCUGCUCGGUGAAUAAGUUUUAACAGCUGCGGUAUUUUAACUGUACUAAGGUAGCAUAAUAAUUUGCCUUAUAAUUUGAGGCUAGAAUGAAUGGUUUGACGAAGGUUAAGCUGUCUCCACUUUAUUUUUUAGAAUUUAAUUUUUAUAGUGAAAAAGCUUAAAUUUUUUAAAGGGACGAGAAGACCCUAAUGAGCUUAUAAUUUUAUUGUUGUGGUUUAAUAUAUUUAAAUGAUAAUAUAUAAAUUUUAAUUGGGGUGAUUAAGGAAUAAAUUAUGAUUAAUAACUUCCUUAGGCUGAAUAUAUAUUGAUUAAGUAACCAAUAAAUAUAUUGCUUAUAAUAUAGUUACCAUAGGGAUAACAGCGUAAUUUGUUUAGAGAGUUCUUAUUGAAAAACAAGAUUGCGACCUCGAUGUUGGAUUAAAGUAACCUUAAGGUGCAGAAGCUUUAUUAGGUAAAUCUGUUCGAUUUUUAAUACUUU
RNAcentral lists this ribosomal RNA (512 nucleotides) under Nototodarus gouldi (Gould's flying squid). Its description in RNAcentral is "partial 16S ribosomal RNA". It matches the Rfam family "Bacterial large subunit ribosomal RNA", at positions 1817 to 2597 of the family's 2925-position model. The record is from RNAcentral. Lineage: Eukaryota; Metazoa; Mollusca; Cephalopoda; Oegopsida; Ommastrephidae.